This is a long non-coding RNA of Nicotiana attenuata, 461 nucleotides long. RefSeq lists it as uncharacterized. NCBI's taxonomy places the organism in Eukaryota, Viridiplantae, Streptophyta, Magnoliopsida, Solanales, Solanaceae. The record is from RefSeq and is a predicted model, not a curated record. The transcript is spliced from 3 exons.
CCUGUCAUAAUGUGAAAAUAAAUUCUAUUUAAAGGACUUCUCUAUGCAGUAAAAGAUUAUAGGAUGAUAAAACUAAAUCGCUGGACUUCUAGAUUCGGCGACGAUGAAUUUUUUGAAGCCCUGGCAAUGAUGUUGAUGCUGGUGACAAACAGAUUGGAAAAAUGUCGGUCAACUAUCAAUGUGUUUUAUUUAAACCUUUCAAUAGUGAGAUUUUGAAUGCAGUAUUUACCAUAACUCAGAAGUAAGAACUGGCACUGAAAGGAACUCAAUGAAAAUAAAGGCUAUAUGAACAAAAUCCUCAAAGAGUGUGAUUCAAUGAUAAGGGCCUUAUUGUUAACCGAAAAUCUGGGGAAUAAUCAAUCUUCUUUUACCACAAUAAGACAUUGUUGCUUCUUUCAAGGUAUACCCCUACGUUGUGUUCUUGUUUCCUAAGAAAGAUUUAGUUAGUAUUGUCUACAAUA